ACAUUGGUGGCUCAGUGGUAGCGUUCUCACCUUCCAUGUGGGAGACUCAGGUUUGAUUCCUGGCCAAUGCA
This 71-nucleotide transfer RNA is filed under the name Loxodonta africana (African savanna elephant). It matches the Rfam family "tRNA". Rfam says of the family: Transfer RNA (tRNA) molecules are approximately 80 nucleotides in length. The record is from Rfam by way of RNAcentral. Lineage: Eukaryota; Metazoa; Chordata; Mammalia; Proboscidea; Elephantidae.